UACAGGGGCCCCAAGCGUUAAUCGGAAUUACUGGGCGUAAAGGGCUCGUAGGUGGCCAACUAAGUCAGACGUGAAAUCCCUCAGCUUAACUGGGGAACUGCGUCUGAUACUGGAUGGCUUGAGUUUGGGAGAGGGAUGCGGAAUUCCAGGUGUAGCGGUGAAAUGCGUAGAUAUCUGGAGGAACACCGGUGGCGAAGGCGGCAUCCUGGACCAACACUGACACUGAGGAGCGAAAGCCAGGGGAGCAAACGGG
RNAcentral lists this ribosomal RNA (253 nucleotides) under uncultured bacterium. RNAcentral describes it as "partial 16S ribosomal RNA". It matches the Rfam family "Bacterial small subunit ribosomal RNA", at positions 524 to 776 of the family's 1533-position model. The record is from RNAcentral.